UUAUGGCUCAGGACGAACGCUGGCGGCGUGCCUAAUACGUGCAAGUCGAACGGUCUUUUCUAUGGAAGCUUGCUUCCACUGAGAAGAUAGUGGCGAACGGGUGAGUAACACGUGGGUAACCUGCCCAUAAGAGGGGGAUAACAUCCGGAAACGGGUGCUAAUACCGCAUAGUUUUCUUGAUCGCAUGAUUGAGAAAGGAAAGACGGCCUUUGUGCUGUCGCUUAUGGAUGGACCCGCGGCGUAUUAGUUAGUUGGUGAGGUAACGGCUCACCAAGACGAUGAUACGUAGCCGACCUGAGAGGGUGAUCGGCCACAUUGGGACUGAGACACGGCCCAAACUCCUACGGGAGGCAGCAGUAGGGAAUCUUCCGCAAUGGACGAAAGUCUGACGGAGCAACGCCGCGUGAGUGAAGAAAGGUUUUCGGAUCGUAAAACUCUGUUGUCAGAGAAGAACAAGUUGGAGAGUAACUGCUCCAGCCUUGACGGUAUCUGACCAGAAAGCCACGGCUAACUACGUGCCAGCAGCCGC
RNAcentral lists this ribosomal RNA (529 nucleotides) under uncultured bacterium. Its description in RNAcentral is "bacterial SSU rRNA". It matches the Rfam family "Bacterial small subunit ribosomal RNA", at positions 17 to 518 of the family's 1533-position model. The record is from RNAcentral.